UUAAGAUUUGGUGAAGAUUGUAUCUGUAUUGAUGGCACUCAUGGAAUGAACGGAUAUGGUUUUGAAUUACAUACUAUCCUCGUCAUUGAUGACUUGCGAGAAGGGUACCCAUGUGCUUUUUUAAUUUCGAAUCGCAGUGAUUCAGAGGUUAUGCAAGUAUUUUUUUCAUGUGUGGAAGAGAGGAUUUUUAAAAAACUGAAAAGAAAAAACAUUCAUGUCCAAUAUGGCAGAAAGCUAUUAUAAUGCUUGAGUAUGAGUAAUGCUGCCAGCUCAAUAUAGAUUAUAUUGCACAUGGCAUGUUGACAGGGCCUGGAGGAAGAACAUAGAAAAAGUAAAUGGCAAAGAGAAAAAAGUUCAAGUUUAUCAAAUGCUACGGGUAUUGCUACAAGAACGGGAUGUCAAUGCAUUUACUAAAUUAGUAAAUGAAUUUCUGACAUAUUGCAAAAAGGAUCUAGAUAUUUUAGAAUUUGCAAAAUAUUUUGAGUUACAUUAUCUCCUAAAAGUGGAACAGUGGGCAUAUUGUUACAGAAUUAAUUCAGGACUUAACACAAAUAUGCAUAUUGAGCGGAUGCACCGUACAAUACAACACAUUUAUUUAAAUGGAAAAUUUGUUAAAAGAUUAGAUAAAGCAAUAGGAGCUGUCAUGAAAUUUGUAAGAGACAAAAUUUUUGAGCGUUUAAUUAUCAUUCACAAAGGUAAAGUCUCUACAAAAUUAAAUAAUCUGAGAAACAGA
Anthonomus grandis grandis is the source of this 733-nucleotide long non-coding RNA. RefSeq lists it as uncharacterized. The transcript is spliced from 3 exons. The record is from RefSeq and is a predicted model, not a curated record. Lineage: Eukaryota; Metazoa; Arthropoda; Insecta; Coleoptera; Curculionidae.